RNAcentral lists this transfer RNA (76 nucleotides) under Candidatus Shikimatogenerans bostrichidophilus. RNAcentral's name for it is "tRNA-Pro". It matches the Rfam family "tRNA". From Rfam's summary of the family: Transfer RNA (tRNA) molecules are approximately 80 nucleotides in length. Their secondary structure includes four short double-helical elements and three loops (D, anti-codon, and T loops). Lineage: Bacteria; Pseudomonadati; Bacteroidota; Flavobacteriia; Flavobacteriales. The record is from RNAcentral.
CGGGGUAUAGCGUAGUCUGGUUUAUCGCGCCUGGUUUGGGACCAGGAGAACACAAGUUCAAAUCUUGUUACCCCGA